RNAcentral lists this ribosomal RNA (594 nucleotides) under uncultured Bacteroidota bacterium. RNAcentral describes it as "bacterial SSU rRNA". It matches the Rfam family "Bacterial small subunit ribosomal RNA", at positions 122 to 715 of the family's 1533-position model. The record is from RNAcentral. Lineage: Bacteria; Pseudomonadati; Bacteroidota.
CAACCUGCCCUUCACCACGGAAUAAUCCAGUGAAAAUUGGUCUAAUACCGUAUGAGGUCAUACGAUGGCAUCAGAAUAUGACGAAAGGUUUGGCGGUGAAGGAUGGGGAUGCGUCUGAUUAGCUUGUUGGUGAGGUAACGGCUCACCAAGGCGACGAUCAGUAGGGGUUCUGAGAGGAAGGUCCCCCACAUUGGAACUGAGACACGGUCCAAACUCCUACGGGAGGCAGCAGUGAGGAAUAUUGGUCAAUGGGCGAGAGCCUGAACCAGCCAAGUAGCGUGCAGGAUGACGGCCCUAUGGGUUGUAAACUGCUUUUAUAUGGGGAUAAAGUGAGCUACGUGUAGUUUAUUGCAGGUACCAUAUGAAUAAGAACCGGCUGAUUCCGUGCCAGCAGCCGCGGUAAUACGGAAGGUCCAGGCGUUAUCCGGAUUUAUUGGGUUAAAGGGAGCGUAGGCCGCCCCUUAAGCGUGUUGUGAAAUGCCGCGGCUUAACCGUGGCACUGCAGCGCGAACUGGGGGGCUUGAGUGCACGCAACGCAGGCGGAAUUCGUGGUGUAGCGGUGAAAUGCUUAGAUAUCACGAAGAACUCCGAUUG